Molecule: ribosomal RNA, 253 nt
Filed under: uncultured bacterium
Lineage: Bacteria
Description: partial 16S ribosomal RNA
Rfam family: Bacterial small subunit ribosomal RNA
Source: RNAcentral
UACAGAGGGGGCAAGCGUUAUUCGGAUUCACUGGGCGUAAAGGGUGCGCAGGCGGCCGUGUGUGUGAGGCGUGAAAGCCCGGGGCUUAACCCCGGAAUUGCACCUCAAACUACACGGCUAGAGCAUUGGAGAGGGUAGCAGAAUUCAUGGUGUAGCAGUGAAAUGCGUAGAUAUCAUGAGGAAUACCAGAGGCGAAGGCGGCUACCUGGACAAUUGCUGACGCUCAGGCACGAAAGCGUGGGGAGCAAAAGGG